UUUCCGUAGGUGAACCUGCGGAAGGAUCAUUACUGAGUGAGGGCCCUCUGGGUCCAACCUCCCACCCGUGUUUAUUGUACCUUGUUGCUUCGGUGAGCCCGCCUCACGGCCGCCGGGGGGCAUCUGCCCCCGGGCCCGCGCUCGCCAGAGGCUUUUAAAAUCUUGCUUGCAAUGAGUCUGAGCGAUACAAAAAAUGCGAAAAACUUUCAACAACGGAUCUCUUGGUUCUG
This 230-nucleotide unclassified non-coding RNA is filed under the name plant metagenome. RNAcentral describes it as "partial contains small subunit ribosomal RNA, internal transcribed spacer 1, and 5.8S ribosomal RNA". The record is from RNAcentral.